AGAUCUAGUUUGGUGUCCGGUAGCGUGACCAGCCGGAGGUGUACCACGUUUGCUUUAUCCCCUGCAUGAUUAUACAAAUAGCGAAUAUAUUUCGGUGAGAUAUAGCACUGAAUUUAACGGGUAGCCAUAUAACUUGUUAGGAGGACUAUUGCAGCGUGUGUAUGCAGUUCUAGCCGUGCGUAAGGUGCUGAGAGAGUAUUGUGCACCUAGAAGACGGGCUGAGGGUCAGUUGACGACUGUUAUAAGCGUUUGAGGUCAGUGGGGAGCGUUGGAUUGAGGGCAGUCGUGUCAUGCCCGAUCGUCGAUGCAGACCAGGAACCGAUGUUGGUAGGAUAACCGCAGUUGGAGGCGAUAGACCCGGGGCUACGGUUAAAGCAACUACCACGUGGUGACGAGAGAACGGUACAGGACUUAGACGUUCCUAGAUGAGUGCUAAUGGCGGAUGCACGUGUGGUGUGACUUCCGGUGAACGUUUAUAAGCAGUUGUGAUUUAGUAACUAUUGAGUAACUUUCAGCCGUUUAAGAAAAGGAAAUUAUCUUUUUGAAGUAUAUAUAAUUAUUAACUAAUAUUAUUUGAGUUUUUCGGAAUAUUAUUUAAGUCAAUUUUGGUGAAUUUUUCAUUUGAUAUAAUAUCUGAUACUUACUGAAUCAGAAUUGUAGAAGUUAAUAUUGAAUUAAUGUAAAGUAUCGGAAUUGGUGAAAACUGAGUUAACACUUUACUAUUACAUUUAUUUCAUUUUCGGUGUGUGAGCCUGUAUGCGAGAGUGAAUGAAUGACAUAGAAUUUAUUUGUUUUCUAUUUUAUUUAUUUUGUGUUAAUAAAUUUAUUUGUUUAUUCUGA
Saccostrea echinata is the source of this 840-nucleotide long non-coding RNA. RefSeq lists it as uncharacterized. The transcript is spliced from 2 exons. Lineage: Eukaryota; Metazoa; Mollusca; Bivalvia; Ostreida; Ostreidae. The record is from RefSeq and is a predicted model, not a curated record.